CCCUUAGAUGUUCUGGGCGGCCCGCGCACUACACUGGCACUCUCAAUCAGAGCCUGGAUCUAACACUUUGGGGUAUUCUAUGAAGUGGUGUCGUGACUGGGAUUAACCCUUGCAAUUAUUGGUUACGAACGAGGAAUUCCUUGUAAUCGCGGUUUAUCAGCCCGCGUUGAAUGCGUCCCUGCCCUUUGUACACACCGCCCGUCGCUCCUACCGAUGGAUCGUCCGGUGAAGCUCAUGGAGGGGCGGUUGUCUCAGCUGCCGUCGAGGUGAAAUGGACCUCACGAUCUAGAGGAAGGAGAAGUCGUAACA
RNAcentral lists this ribosomal RNA (309 nucleotides) under uncultured eukaryote. RNAcentral describes it as "partial 18S ribosomal RNA". It matches the Rfam family "Eukaryotic small subunit ribosomal RNA", at positions 1470 to 1796 of the family's 1831-position model. The record is from RNAcentral.